Molecule: ribosomal RNA, 484 nt
Filed under: uncultured bacterium
Lineage: Bacteria
Description: partial 16S ribosomal RNA
Rfam family: Bacterial small subunit ribosomal RNA
Source: RNAcentral
AUUGAACGCUGGCGGCAGGCCUAACACAUGCAAGUCGAGCGGAUGAAGGGAGCUUGCUCCUGGAUUCAGCGGCGGACGGGUGAGUAAUGCCUAGGAAUCUGCCUGGUAGUGGGGGAUAACGUCCGGAAACGGGCGCUAAUACCGCAUACGUCCUGAGGGAGAAAGUGGGGGAUCUUCGGACCUCACGCUAUCAGAUGAGCCUAGGUCGGAUUAGCUAGUUGGUGGGGUAAAGGCCUACCAAGGCGACGAUCCGUAACUGGUCUGAGAGGAUGAUCAGUCACAACGGGACUGGGACACGGUCCAGAAUCCUACGGGAGGGAGCAGGGGGGAAAUUUUGGAAAAGGGGGAAAGCUUGACCGAGGAACGCCGGGGGGGUGAAGAAAGUCUUCGGGUUUUAAAACCCUUUUAUGUGGGAAGAACGGAUGUGAAAGUAACUAUUCGCUUUUUGACGGUACCCAAACAAAAAGCCACGGCUAACUUCGUG